This 1049-nucleotide long non-coding RNA is filed under the name Nicotiana benthamiana. RNAcentral describes it as "long non-coding RNA (NBEN_LNC034455)". Lineage: Eukaryota; Viridiplantae; Streptophyta; Magnoliopsida; Solanales; Solanaceae. The record is from RNAcentral.
AGCACCACUGCAAAAAUAAGGAUAUCAUUAAGGUGAUGCAUCAUAGAGUGAUGAACAAUCUGGAAAAUCAUAAAACAACAUGGUAAAUGGACAAAUAAUAUGUUGUAAUGACCUCGGGAUUCAUAUCACAGAUCAAUUAGAUAACAUUGAGAAAAUUCAAAACAACAACAGUCCCCUUAAGUAAGAACAAAUCAAUGAGAUAUUGGCAAGGCUGAUAACAUUAGGAAAAUUCAAAGCAACAACAGUCCCCUUAAGUAAGAACAAAUCAAUGAACUAUUGGCAAGGUUCACAGAAAUACACAUUUAAGAAAUCUUAUAUUCUACAUCAGACAGUUCCUAGGCAACCAAAACAGAAAUUUCUUAACCUUCAGAUGUUUAAAUUCCUUCACUUCAAAGUUCAGAAAUGCAUCAUAGUCAAGAAUAAGCAAACAUAUUUAUAGAAGCUCAGAACAUACAAAUUUCUCGCAACCAAAAUCAACAACCAAGAGAUUAUUGACUAUCACUAUAAUAUAUAGAUACCAGAACAUUUCUCUUGACAAAAAUCUUGAAGUUAGGUCUUUUCAGAUAGCUAGUUUCCGGUUUCAGUCCUAAACUUCUUGAGUUCACUCAUACUUCAUUUCUAAUUAUAAGAAGUUACUGCUUGUCUUUCACCACACAAAUUAAAGUUGUAUUGCACAUUCAGAAUACAAGUCUUAUAUUUGAGAACUAUUUGAUUAAAUAACAAUCAACUGGAAGCUCAUAAUUAAUUUUGAUACAAAAUAGUACAAGCAUCUUCAGCACAUCGAAUCAACAUAAUACGGUCAGACCUCUCUACGACACCUCUCUACGACAGCAUUCUUAUAUAUUAACCAUUCACUAUAAAAGCCAAGUUUUCUCAAAACCGAUCUUUUAUUCUAUGUUAUAAUAUAUGUCGUCUAUAACUAACACUCCACUGUAGAAUCCAAAAAAUAUCGGAACAAAAGUAGAUGUUAUAGAGAGGUUUGACUAUACAACCCAAUAAUUAAGAGCAAAACUUUUUGUUAAAUAGAAAAUCUAGAACAAAAGAAAGUA